Molecule: ribosomal RNA, 405 nt
Filed under: uncultured bacterium
Lineage: Bacteria
Description: partial 16S ribosomal RNA
Rfam family: Bacterial small subunit ribosomal RNA
Source: RNAcentral
AUUGAACGCUGGCGGCAGGCUUAACACAUGCAAGUCGAGCGAGCGGCGGACGGGUGAGUAAUGUCUGGGAAACUGCAUGAUGGAGGGGGAUAACUACUGGAAACGGUAGCUAAUACCGCAUACCAUCAGAUGUGCCCAGAUGGGAUUAGCUAGUGGGUGGGGUACUGGCUCACCUAGGCGACGAUUCCUAGCUGGUCUGAGAGGAUGACAAGCCACACUGGACCCGAGCACCGGUCCAGACUCCUACGGAAGGCAGCAUGGGGGAAUAUUGAACAAUGGGCGAAAGCUUGAUGCAUCCAUGCGGCGUGUGUGAAGAAGGCCUUCGGUUUGUAAAGCACUUUCAGCGAGGAGGCGUUACUCGCAGAAGAAGCACCGGCUAACUCCGUGCCAGCAGCCGCGGUAAUU